UCGGGAAUUUUGGGCAAUGGGCGAAAGCCUGACCCAGCAACGCCGCGUGAAGGAUGAAGUAUUUCGGUAUGUAAACUUCGUAAGAAUAGGAAGAAUAAAUGACGGUACUAUUUGUAAGGUCCGGCUAACUACGUGCCAGCAGCCGCGGUAAUACGUAGGGACCAAGCGUUGUUCGGAUUUACUGGGCGUAAAGGGUGCGUAGGCGGCAUAUCAAGUCACUUGUGAAAUCUCCGGGCUUAACUCGGAACUGCCAAGUGAUACUGAUGUGCUAGAGUGCAGAAAGGGCAACUGGAAUUCUUGGUGUAGCGGUGAAAUGCGUAGAUAUCAAGAGGAACACCUGAGGCGAAGGCGAGUUGCUAGGCUGACACUGACGCUGAGGUACGAAAGCUAGGGGAGCGAACGGGAUUAGAUACCCCAGUAGUCCCUGAGCGGGCUGGCAAGGCGCAU
This 447-nucleotide ribosomal RNA is filed under the name uncultured bacterium. Its description in RNAcentral is "bacterial SSU rRNA". It matches the Rfam family "Bacterial small subunit ribosomal RNA", at positions 355 to 825 of the family's 1533-position model. The record is from RNAcentral.